Molecule: ribosomal RNA, 984 nt
Filed under: Microbacterium paraoxydans
Lineage: Bacteria; Bacillati; Actinomycetota; Actinomycetes; Micrococcales; Microbacteriaceae
Description: bacterial SSU rRNA
Rfam family: Bacterial small subunit ribosomal RNA
Source: RNAcentral
AACCUCUUUUAGCAGGGAAGAAGCGAAAGUGACGGUACCUGCAGAAAAAGCGCCGGCUAACUACGUGCCAGCAGCCGCGGUAAUACGUAGGGCGCAAGCGUUAUCCGGAAUUAUUGGGCGUAAAGAGCUCGUAGGCGGUUUGUCGCGUCUGCUGUGAAAUCCCGAGGCUCAACCUCGGGCCUGCAGUGGGUACGGGCAGACUAGAGUGCGGUAGGGGAGAUUGGAAUUCCUGGUGUAGCGGUGGAAUGCGCAGAUAUCAGGAGGAACACCGAUGGCGAAGGCAGAUCUCUGGGCCGUAACUGACGCUGAGGAGCGAAAGGGUGGGGAGCAAACAGGCUUAGAUACCCUGGUAGUCCACCCCGUAAACGUUGGGAACUAGUUGUGGGGUCCAUUCCACGGAUUCCGUGACGCAGCUAACGCAUUAAGUUCCCCGCCUGGGGAGUACGGCCGCAAGGCUAAAACUCAAAGGAAUUGACGGGGACCCGCACAAGCGGCGGAGCAUGCGGAUUAAUUCGAUGCAACGCGAAGAACCUUACCAAGGCUUGACAUAUACGAGAACGGGCCAGAAAUGGUCAACUCUUUGGACACUCGUAAACAGGUGGUGCAUGGUUGUCGUCAGCUCGUGUCGUGAGAUGUUGGGUUAAGUCCCGCAACGAGCGCAACCCUCGUUCUAUGUUGCCAGCACGUAAUGGUGGGAACUCAUGGGAUACUGCCGGGGUCAACUCGGAGGAAGGUGGGGAUGACGUCAAAUCAUCAUGCCCCUUAUGUCUUGGGCUUCACGCAUGCUACAAUGGCCGGUACAAAGGGCUGCAAUACCGUGAGGUGGAGCGAAUCCCAAAAAGCCGGUCCCAGUUCGGAUUGAGGUCUGCAACUCGACCUCAUGAAGUCGGAGUCGCUAGUAAUCGCAGAUCAGCAACGCUGCGGUGAAUACGUUCCCGGGUCUUGUACACACCGCCCGUCAAGUCAUGAAAGUCGGUAACACCU